AGUGAACGCUGGCGGUAGGCCUAACACAUGCCAGUCGAACGGCAGCACAGUAAGAGCUUGCUCUUACGGGUGGCGAGUGGCGGACGGGUGAGGAAUACAUCGGAAUCUACUUUUUCGUGGGGGAUAACGUAGGGAAACUUACGCUAAUACCGCAUACGACCUACGGGUGAAAGCAGGGGAUCUUCGGACCUUGCGCGAUUGAAUGAGCCGAUGUCGGAUUAGCUAGUUGGCGGGGUAAAGGCCCACCAAGGCGACGAUCCGUAGCUGGUCUGAGAGGAUGAUCAGCCACACUGGAACUGAGACACGGUCCAGACUCCUACGGGAGGCAGCAGUGGGGACUAUUGGACAAUGGGCACAAGCCUGAUCCAGCCAUACCGCGUGGGUGAAGAAGGACUUCGGGUUGUAAAGCCCUUUUGUUGGGAAAGAAAAGCAGCAGGUUAAUACCCCGCUGUUCUGACGGUACCCAAAGAAUAAGCACCGGCUAACUUCGUG
This 492-nucleotide ribosomal RNA is filed under the name uncultured bacterium. Its description in RNAcentral is "partial 16S ribosomal RNA". It matches the Rfam family "Bacterial small subunit ribosomal RNA", at positions 29 to 507 of the family's 1533-position model. The record is from RNAcentral.